GACGAACGCUGGCGGCGUGCUUAACACAUGCAAGUCGAGCGGUAAGGCCCUUUCGGGGGUACACGAGCGGCGAACGGGUGAGUAACACGUGGGUGACCUGCCCUCAGCUCUGGGAUAAGCCUGGGAAACUGGGUCUAAUACCGGAUAUGACUCCAUGACGCAUGUUGUGGGGUGGAAAGCCUUGUGCGGCUGAGGAUGGGCCCGCGGCCUAUCAGCUUGUUGGUGGGGUGAUGGCCUACCAAGGCGACGACGGGUAGCCGGCCUGAGAGGGCGACCGGCCACACUGGGACUGAGACACGGCCCAGACUCCUACGGGAGGCAGCAGUGGGGAAUCUUGCGCAAUGGGCGAAAGCCUGACGCAGCGACGCCGCGUGAGGGAUGACGGCCUGGUGUAAC
RNAcentral lists this ribosomal RNA (396 nucleotides) under uncultured bacterium. RNAcentral describes it as "bacterial SSU rRNA". It matches the Rfam family "Bacterial small subunit ribosomal RNA", at positions 28 to 429 of the family's 1533-position model. The record is from RNAcentral.